GCCACUGUCUUAUAGCUAUACAUGCAGUCGAGCGAACAGAGAAGGAGCUUGCUCCGUUCGACGUUAGCGGCGGACGGGUGAGUAACACGUGGGCAACCUACCUUAUAGUUUGGGAUAACUCCGGGAAACCGGGGCUAAUACCGAAUAAUCUGUUUCACCUCAUGGUGAAACACUGAAAGACGGUUUCGGCUGUCGCUAUAGGAUGGGCCCGCGGCGCAUUAGCUAGUUGGUGAGGUAACGGCUCACCAAGGCGACGAUGCGUAGCCGACCUGAGAGGGUGAUCGGCCACACUGGGACUGAGACACGGCCCAGACUCCUACGGGAGGCAGCAAUACGGAAUCUUCCAAAAAGGGCGGAAGGCUGGUGGGGCAACCGCACGGGAAGGAAAGAAGAUCUCGGGUUGCGAACGCUGUGUUAAAGGAAAGAACAUCUCAAGACACUAGCUGGCUGUACUUGAACGGCCCCUUAUUAGAAAGCGCCACAGCGUAACUACGUUGCCAGCAGGUCGCCGGUAAUACGUAAGGUGGCGACGCGUUGUCCGGAAUUUAUUCGGGCGUAAAGACGCGCCGCACGGUGGGUUUCUUAAGUCGUGAUGUGAAAGGCCCACGGCUCAAGCCGUGGAGGGUACAUUGGAAACGAAGGAGACUUGAUGUGCAGAAGAGGAUAGUGGGAAUUCCCACGUGUAGCGGGUGCAACUGGCGUAGAGAUUUAGGAUGAACACUCAGUGGGCGAACGACGACUAUCUGCUCUGUAGCUGACACUGAUGACGCGCAGGCGUGGAGAGCACACAGCAUUAGAUACCCUGUUAGUCCACGCCGUAAACGAUGAGUGCUAAGUGUUACGGGGUUUCCGCCCCUUAGUGCUGCAGCUACCGCAUUAAGCACUCUGCCAUGGGGAGUACCGUCGCUAGACUGAAGCUCAAUGGACUUGACGGGGCACGGCACAGACGGUGGAGCAUGUGUUUUAGUUCGAAGCAACGCGAUGAGCCUCACGAGGUCUGGACGUCCGGUUGACUACUGUAUAGAUACGGUUUCCCGUUCCGGGGUAACGGUGACAGAUGGUGCAUCUGUGUCGUCAGCUCAUUUCUGGACGUUGUUGGGUCUAGCCAAGUCCGUCUUACGGAAGCGGAUUCUGACCUGAGUUCACGCUCAGGUUGCUUGGGUUCACUAAUUUUGACUGCCGGUGACAAACCGGAGGAAGGUGGGGAUGACGUCAAAUCAUCAUGCCCCUUAUGACCUGGGCUACACACGUGCUACAAUGGACGAUACAAACGGUUGCCAACUCGCGAGAGGGAGCUAAUCCGAUAAAGUCGUUCUCAGUUCGGAUUGUAGGCUGCAACUCGCCUACAUGAAGCCGGAAUCGCUAGUAAUCGCGGAUCAGCAUGCCGCGGUGAAUACGUUCCCGGGCCUUGUACACACCGCCCGUCACACCACGAGAGUUUGUAACACCCGAAGUCGGUGAGGUAACCUUUUGGAGCCAGCCGCCGAAGGUGGGAUAGAUGAUUGGGGCAAGUCGAACAAUGAGACCGCCC
This 1531-nucleotide ribosomal RNA is filed under the name Lysinibacillus fusiformis. RNAcentral describes it as "bacterial SSU rRNA". It matches the Rfam family "Bacterial small subunit ribosomal RNA". Lineage: Bacteria; Bacillati; Bacillota; Bacilli; Caryophanales; Bacillaceae. The record is from RNAcentral.